Molecule: ribosomal RNA, 226 nt
Filed under: uncultured bacterium
Lineage: Bacteria
Description: partial 16S ribosomal RNA
Rfam family: Bacterial small subunit ribosomal RNA
Source: RNAcentral
GCGUUAAUCGGAAUUACUGGGCGUAAAGGGCGCGUAGGUGGUUAGUUAAGUAAGUUGUGAAAGCCCCGGGCUCAACCUGGGAAUGGCAACUUAAACUGGCUAGCUGGAGUACAUGAGAGGGUAGUGGAAUUUCCGGUGUAGCGGUGAAAUGCGUAGAUAUCGGAAGGAACACCAGUGGCGAAGGCGACUACCUGGCAUGAUACUGACACUGAGGCGCGAAAGCGUG